CUGGCGGCGUGCCUAACACAUGCAAGUCGAGCGGGGACAGGGCUUCGGCCCUGUUCUAGCGGCGGACGGGUGAGUAACGCGUGAAGAAUCUGUCCCAUGCAGGGGGAUAACAGGUGGAAACAUCUGCUAAUACCGCAUAAGACCACGAGGCCGCAUGGCCAUGGGGUCAAAGGAGCAAUCCGGCAAGGGGUGACUUCGCGUCUGAUUAGCUAGUUGGCGGGGUAACGGCCCACCAAGGCGACGAUCAGUAGCCGACCUGAGAGGGUGAUCGGCCACACUGGAACUGAGAGACGGUCCAGACUCCUACGGGAGGCAGCAGUGGGGAAUAUUGGGCAAUGGGCCGAAAGCCUGACCCAGCAACGCCGCGUGAGGGAAGAAGGUUUUCGGAUUGUAAACCUCUGUCCUAUGGGAAGAAGGAAGUGACGGUACCAUAGGAGGAAGCCCCGGCUAACUACGUGCCAGCCGCUGC
This 469-nucleotide ribosomal RNA is filed under the name uncultured bacterium. RNAcentral's name for it is "bacterial SSU rRNA". It matches the Rfam family "Bacterial small subunit ribosomal RNA", at positions 36 to 518 of the family's 1533-position model. The record is from RNAcentral.